CGGGCACUACGAGGAGGGAGGCCACGCAGCUGGGGGACCGGGAGCGCUACCGGCGCAAACUAAGCGCUGGACGCCGCGGGGCGCAGGUGGGCCACCCAGCCUCAGUUACCUGCAUCUGCGGAAUUCCUGAGGACGGGAGGAAUGCGAGCGCCUGCUGGCCAGGCAGGCUGGAGACCUCCUGGGACUUUACCCUCCGGCCCUGCCCCGCCCCUAGCUCCCUUUCUGGGGAGCCUCGAUUUUCUACUCUGUAACUAAAUGUGAGGGACUGCUAAGAUCCCCAGUUCGAGCAGAA
Long non-coding RNA from Monodelphis domestica (gray short-tailed opossum), 292 nucleotides. RefSeq lists it as uncharacterized. The record is from RefSeq and is a predicted model, not a curated record. Lineage: Eukaryota; Metazoa; Chordata; Mammalia; Didelphimorphia; Didelphidae.